GGCUGCUCGGGCGCUGCGCGAGCGGAGCCAAACUGCUCCCACCUGACACUGCGGACGCCCCCUCUGUCUACACCGCCCUAGGGCGUCUAACAGAUUUGUACCAAAUGUGGGGAAGGAUCACUUUAUGACUGCUGGCAAUCCAGGAAUUUCACAGUCAAAGGAACCUACUAGAUCCAGAAAGGGCAAAGGAUUGACAGUCGAGCACAUUCUGAUGAAUUGUACCCUUAGGGAAAAAAAGAAGAAAACCAAGAAGGCCUCUGAUACCAUCUAUGGGAAGAAGCUAACAAUGAGAAAUAAUUCUUAGAAGUCCUAUUUUCUCAAAGAGGAGUUUGGAAAGGAGGAAGUGUGAUUGUGGAUUUAUAAGUCCACAAGGACUCAAUGCAAGCGGCAGAUGGUGAAUGGUGGUGGCACUGACAGUCACCACUCCCCAACUCCUGGUUUUCUUCAGGCUGGUCUUCCACUCUUGGCUGGUGCUGGGCUUGGUUGUCCAUCUUCCACUGCCUUUCUCAGAGGACCACACUAAUGGUGCAAUCUGAGAGGAACUGCACGGGAAGGAGGGGAACCUGGGAUUUCAUUCUGGAUCUGCACAUACUGCCCAGGUGGCUUUGAGCAAGGAGGAAGAGACUAGCAUUGUUGAACGCCUUCCAGCUACCAGUCGUUGUGUAAGAUGCCAUGCAUGCAAGUAAACUCUUUAAACCUCCUGACAACCCUGUAAGAUAAAGAAGAUGAAACACAGAGAGAUUAAGUAAUUUGUCCUACAUCACACAGCAAGUAAGUGAUGGUCCAAGAAAGAAGAACAUGGAAAUUUUACAACGCAAAAUGUUAGUGUGUCUUUGUACACUAUUGGGGCAAAUACAAAUGAAAAGAAUGGCAGAAGAUAGUCAUGUGAAGUGUCUUGUCAGGGAUUGGUCUCCCCCCAAUAGCAUCUCAAAAGGAAACAGGGACUGAGGAUUGGUGAGAAGUGAGGCCUGGGGACAAAAAGCCCUUGAAGCUUGCGAGGUACAGCUAGGGAGUCUCGCUUUUGGAAGGGCUGGGAGAGAAGUAUCCAUUGUCCUACUCCAACACCUUUCUAUGUUUUAGAUACCUCUAACAUCCACCUAUCAGAAGAAUCAUUUAAGAACAUAGCCGACGACACUCUAUUUUGACUUUUUAUAAAAUGCUCCACUGUUAACUACUUGUAAAACAGUUUUAUUUUAUAUGACAAUGGCUGUUCACAUGGUAGUCAUUGUUUGACUUUCCAUCCAUUAUUCCAUGAACAUUUUCUACUGUGAACUUUUAAAUGUCAGAAAAAAGUAAUAGCUUUGAGAUUCAACUCUAUUCCGGUUUUUGUUUAUCAGCAAAUCACUACCACACUGCCACCUAGUGGCUCUUAGCAGCAGCCUCUGCGAUUGACAGAACUUGUAAUUUAAGUAUCUAUCUCCAGGCCAGAAUUCUUUAAAAUUUCUGUUUUUACAUUGGUUGCUUGGAAUACACAACUCAUUUUAAUAUAUAAAUGAUAUUACGAGUAGGUGUUAGGCUUCCAGCUUGUUCACAAAACCGUCAUCCCAUAAUGUACUUUGAAUACUUUCCAGUUGAGUUGAUCCAUCUGUAGUCACAGUUUCAUGGAAUCUUCUUGUAUCAUGUUACAUCUUCUUUCUGCUUUUACUGUUCUGAUAAAUCCAUGAAGAGAUGCCUGGCGCCCAGUCCUCCACUCCAGCCAUGCUGUCUCAACGUAUAGUCUGGCCUUAGGCGGAAAAGGAACCUCAUGGGAGGUCAUUCUCUUUUUCUUAGCCUGCUGCUGAUUCCUGAAGCUGUGACUCAACCUUCAGAAGGGCCCAGCCUCUGUCCCCUGCCCCCAGCUUGGGGUGGCCCUCUGUGUAUCUCCACCACCUCUGCCCUUGC
This is a long non-coding RNA of Herpailurus yagouaroundi (jaguarundi), 1881 nucleotides long. RefSeq lists it as uncharacterized. Lineage: Eukaryota; Metazoa; Chordata; Mammalia; Carnivora; Felidae. The transcript is spliced from 6 exons. The record is from RefSeq and is a predicted model, not a curated record.